ACUAAGCGUACACGGUGGAUGCCUUGGCAGUCAGAGGCGAUGAAGGACGUGCUAAUCUGCGAUAAGCGUCGGUAAGGUGAUAUGAACCGUUAUAACCGGCGAUUUCCGAAUGGGGAAACCCAGUGUGAUUCGUCACACUAUCAUUAACUGAAUCCAUAGGUUAAUGAGGCGAACCGGGGGAACUGAAACAUCUAAGUACCCCGAGGAAAAGAAAUCAACCGAGAUUCCCCCAGUAGCGGCGAGCGAACGGGGAGCAGCCCAGAGCCUGAAUCAGUGUGUGUGUUAGUGGAAGCGUCUGGAAAGGCGUGCGAUACAGGGUGACAGCCCCGUACACAAAAAUGCACAUACUGUGAGCUCGAUGAGUAGGGCGGGACACGUGGUAUCCUGUCUGAAUAUGGGGGGACCAUCCUCCAAGGCUAAAUACUCCUGACUGACCGAUAGUGAACCAGUACCGUGAGGGAAAGGCGAAAAGAACCCCGGCGAGGGGAGUGAAAAAGAACCUGAAACCGUGUACGUACAAGCAGUGGGAGCACGCUUAGGCGUGUGACUGCGUACCUUUUGUAUAAUGGGUCAGCGACUUAUAUUCUGUAGCAAGGUUAACCGAAUAGGGGAGCCGAAGGGAAACCGAGUCUUAACUGGGCGUUAAGUUGCAGGGUAUAGACCCGAAACCCGGUGAUCUAGCCAUGGGCAGGUUGAAGGUUGGGUAACACUAACUGGAGGACCGAACCGACUAAUGUUGAAAAAUUAGCGGAUGACUUGUGGCUGGGGGUGAAAGGCCAAUCAAACCGGGAGAUAGCUGGUUCUCCCCGAAAGCUAUUUAGGUAGCGCCUCGUGAAUUCAUCUCCGGGGGUAGAGCACUGUUUCGGCAAGGGGGUCAUCCCGACUUACCAACCCGAUGCAAACUGCGAAUACCGGAGAAUGUUAUCACGGGAGACACACGGCGGGUGCUAACGUCCGUUGUGAAGAGGGAAACAACCCAGACCGCCAGCUAAGGUCCCAAAGUCAUGGUUAAGUGGGAAACGAUGUGGGAAGGCCCAGACAGCCAGGAUGUUGGCUUAGAAGCAGCCAUCAUUUAAAGAAAGCGUAAUAGCUCACUGGUCGAGUCGGCCUGCGCGGAAGAUGUAACGGGGCUAAACCAUGCACCGAAGCUGCGGCAGCGACGCUUAUGCGUUGUUGGGUAGGGGAGCGUUCUGUAAGCCUGUGAAGGUGUGCUGUGAGGUAUGCUGGAGGUAUCAGAAGUGCGAAUGCUGACAUAAGUAACGAUAAAGCGGGUGAAAAGCCCGCUCGCCGGAAGACCAAGGGUUCCUGUCCAACGUUAAUCGGGGCAGGGUGAGUCGACCCCUAAGGCGAGGCCGAAAGGCGUAGUCGAUGGGAAACAGGUUAAUAUUCCUGUACUUGGUGUUACUGCGAAGGGGGGACGGAGAAGGCUAUGUUGGCCGGGCGACGGUUGUCCCGGUUUAAGCGUGUAGGCUGGUUUUCCAGGCAAAUCCGGAAAAUCAAGGCCGAGGCGUGAUGACGAGGCACUACGGUGCUGAAGCAACAAAUGCCCUGCUUCCAGGAAAAGCCUCUAAGCAUCAGGUAACAUCAAAUCGUACCCCAAACCGACACAGGUGGUCAGGUAGAGAAUACCAAGGCGCUUGAGAGAACUCGGGUGAAGGAACUAGGCAAAAUGGUGCCGUAACUUCGGGAGAAGGCACGCUGAUACGUAGGUGAAGCGACUUGCUCGUGGAGCUGAAAUCAGUCGAAGAUACCAGCUGGCUGCAACUGUUUAUUAAAAACACAGCACUGUGCAAACACGAAAGUGGACGUAUACGGUGUGACGCCUGCCCGGUGCCGGAAGGUUAAUUGAUGGGGUUAGCGCAAGCGAAGCUCUUGAUCGAAGCCCCGGUAAACGGCGGCCGUAACUAUAACGGUCCUAAGGUAGCGAAAUUCCUUGUCGGGUAAGUUCCGACCUGCACGAAUGGCGUAAUGAUGGCCAGGCUGUCUCCACCCGAGACUCAGUGAAAUUGAACUCGCUGUGAAGAUGCAGUGUACCCGCGGCAAGACGGAAAGACCCCGUGAACCUUUACUAUAGCUUGACACUGAACAUUGAGCCUUGAUGUGUAGGAUAGGUGGGAGGCUUUGAAGUGUGGACGCCAGUCUGCAUGGAGCCGACCUUGAAAUACCACCCUUUAAUGUUUGAUGUUCUAACGUGGACCCGUGAUCCGGGUUGCGGACAGUGUCUGGUGGGUAGUUUGACUGGGGCGGUCUCCUCCUAAAGAGUAACGGAGGAGCACGAAGGUUGGCUAAUCCUGGUCGGACAUCAGGAGGUUAGUGCAAUGGCAUAAGCCAGCUUGACUGCGAGCGUGACGGCGCGAGCAGGUGCGAAAGCAGGUCAUAGUGAUCCGGUGGUUCUGAAUGGAAGGGCCAUCGCUCAACGGAUAAAAGGUACUCCGGGGAUAACAGGCUGAUACCGCCCAAGAGUUCAUAUCGACGGCGGUGUUUGGCACCUCGAUGUCGGCUCAUCACAUCCUGGGGCUGAAGUAGGUCCCAAGGGUAUGGCUGUUCGCCAUUUAAAGUGGUACGCGAGCUGGGUUUAGAACGUCGUGAGACAGUUCGGUCCCUAUCUGCCGUGGGCGCUGGAGAACUGAGGGGGGCUGCUCCUAGUACGAGAGGACCGGAGUGGACGCAUCACUGGUGUUCGGGUUGUCAUGCCAAUGGCACUGCCCGGUAGCUAAAUGCGGAAGAGAUAAGUGCUGAAAGCAUCUAAGCACGAAACUUGCCCCGAGAUGAGUUCUCCCUGACCCUUUAAGGGUCCUGAAGGAACGUUGAAGACGACGACGUUGAUAGGCCGGGUGUGUAAGCGCAGCGAUGCGUUGAGCUAACCGGUACUAAUGAACCGUGAGGCUUAACC
Molecule: ribosomal RNA, 2893 nt
Filed under: Shigella flexneri
Lineage: Bacteria; Pseudomonadati; Pseudomonadota; Gammaproteobacteria; Enterobacterales; Enterobacteriaceae
Also listed under: 1 other name
Description: bacterial LSU rRNA
Rfam family: Bacterial large subunit ribosomal RNA
Source: RNAcentral